RNAcentral lists this ribosomal RNA (474 nucleotides) under uncultured bacterium. RNAcentral describes it as "SSU rRNA". It matches the Rfam family "Bacterial small subunit ribosomal RNA", at positions 26 to 518 of the family's 1533-position model. The record is from RNAcentral.
AGGACGAACGCUGGCGGCGUGCUUAACACAUGCAAGUCGAGCGGAAAGGCCCUUCGGGGUACUCGAGCGGCGAACGGGUGAGUAACACGUGAGCAAUCUGCCCUUAGCUCCGGGAUAGCUCCGGGAAACCGGAAUUAAUACCGGAUAUGACUAUGGCCGACAUCAGCCAUGGUGGAAAGUUUUUCGGCUAGGGAUGAGCUCGCGGCCUAUCAGCUAGUUGGUGGGGCAACGGCCCACCAAGGCGACGACGGGUAGCCGGCCUGAGAGGGCGACCGGCCACACUGGGACUGAGACACGGCCCAGACUCCUACGGGAGGCAGCAGUGGGGAAUAUUGCGCAAUGGGCGAAAGCCUGACGCAGCGACGCCGCGUGGGGGAAGAAGGCCUUCGGGUUGUAAACCCCUUUCAGCAGGGACGAAGCGAGAGUGACGGUACCUGCAGAAGAAGCGCCGGCUAACUACGUGCCAGCAGCCGC